This 254-nucleotide ribosomal RNA is filed under the name uncultured bacterium. Its description in RNAcentral is "partial 16S ribosomal RNA". It matches the Rfam family "Bacterial small subunit ribosomal RNA", at positions 524 to 777 of the family's 1533-position model. The record is from RNAcentral.
UACGAAGGGGGCUAGCGUUGCUCGGAAUCACUGGGCGUAAAGCGCACGUAGGCGGGUCGUUAAGUCGGGGGUGAAAUCCUGGAGCUCAACUCCAGAACUGCCUUCGAUACUGGCGAUCUUGAGUCCGGAAGAGGUGAGUGGAAUUCCUAGUGUAGAGGUGAAAUUCGUAGAUAUUAGGAAGAACACCAGUGGCGAAGGCGGCUCACUGGUCCGGUACUGACGCUGAGGUGCGAAAGCGUGGGGAGCAAAGCAGG